This 541-nucleotide ribosomal RNA is filed under the name uncultured bacterium. Its description in RNAcentral is "bacterial SSU rRNA". It matches the Rfam family "Bacterial small subunit ribosomal RNA", at positions 356 to 896 of the family's 1533-position model. The record is from RNAcentral.
GGGGAAUAUUGCACAAUGGGCGCAAGCCUGAUGCAGCGACGCCGCGUGAGGGAUGGAGGCCUUCGGGUUGUGAACCUCUUUCGCUCAUGGUCAAGCCGCAACAAUGGUUGUGGUGAGGGUAGUGGGUAAAGAAGCGCCGGCUAACUACGUGCCAGCAGCCGCGGUAAUACGUAGGGCGCGAGCGUUGUCCGGAAUUAUUGGGCGUAAAGGGCUUGUAGGCGGUUGGUCGCGUCUGCCGUGAAAUCCUCUGGCUUAACUGGGGGCGUGCGGUGGGUACGGGCUGACUUGAGUGCGGUAGGGGAGACUGGAACUCCUGGUGUAGCGGUGGAAUGCGCAGAUAUCAGGAAGAACACCGGUGGCGAAGGCGGGUCUCUGGGCCGUUACUGACGCUGAGGAGCGAAAGCGUGGGGAGCGAACAGGAUUAGAUACCCUGGUAGUCCACGCUGUAAACGUUGGGCACUAGGUGUGGGGGCCACCCGUGGUUUCUGCGCCGUAGCUAACGCUUUAAGUGCCCCGCCUGGGGAGUACGGCCGCAAGGCUA